GGAAGUGGCCAGCGGGACAGCAGAGGAGAGGUUGUCUGCAAGGAGGCAAACCUGCUCAUUCCUGUGCUUUCUCUGCUACCAGAGAUUGGCACCUGCUCCCCAGCUGUCACUUAUGGAUUUUCCAGAAAGAACCAGCCCUAGCAACCUGCCAUCAGAUGAGUCACUUAAGCAUUUGAAUCCAAUUUCUUUCUCAGGUUAGAAAAUUCAAAGCAUUACACAGCAAGGAAUUGGCAGAGCUGGAAUUGGAAUCCAGAGCUGGUGCUCCUCUUCUGAGAAUACUGACAGUUCUUUCCCCUCCUCUCUAAACUCUUUCCAAGUCCUAAUGUCUGGGUGGCUGGAAGACCACAUGGCAGGCCACCUGGGGAGGAGAGGUACCUGAAUAGCCUGUGAUGUCCAUCGCCUUGAGGUUCCGACAUUUGAUCACUGUGAGGGUGAGCCUGCCUGCUGUGGGCAGGUAGCACAAGGAGAACAUGAUCUCUCCCAGGUCCACGCUUUCCUGCAAAGAAGCAGACGAGAGGGCAGAUGAGGGGCAUACAGCUCUCAGGGCCGCUGCUGCCAGCCACUCGGGUGCCCAGGAGAACAUUCUUUGAGGCAGAGUACCAGGUCUUCUGGACCCAAGGGUCUGGCCUUCAUGCUGGGAGUAACUGGGAAUAAAAGACAAUGAUAA
Canis lupus familiaris (dog) is the source of this 667-nucleotide long non-coding RNA. RefSeq lists it as uncharacterized. The record is from RefSeq and is a predicted model, not a curated record. The transcript is spliced from 3 exons. Lineage: Eukaryota; Metazoa; Chordata; Mammalia; Carnivora; Canidae.